UUAAGGGCGUAUGGCGGAUGCCUUGACUUGAGAAGGCGAUGAAGGACGCGGCGUAGCUGCGAUAAGCUUCGGGGAGGUGCCUAGCAACCUUUGAUCCGGAGAUUUCCGAAUGGGGAAACCCAAUUGCGUAAACCGCAAUUAUUCCGAUGUUUAAUCGGAGAGCGAACCCGCUGAAGUGAAACAUCUCAGUAAGCGGAGGAACAGAAAACAAUAAUCGUAUUUCACUUUUGUCCAGACGAAGAUGGGCGAAAGCGAGAUGCGGUAAAAUUCCCUUAGUAGCGGCGAGCGAAAAGGGAGGAGCCCAAACUUUUUUUCGCAAGAAAAAAAGGGUUACAAGGUAAUAAGCUUUUGAGCAAUCGAAAGGAGAGUCCAAUCAACAAAGACUUCGUUAGCAAAAUCCGCUGGAAAGCGGAACCAAAGAGGGUGAUAGUCCCGUAAGCGAAAACGGUCUUUACUUUCUUGUCUUAUUAUUCUUAAGUAUUUCAAGAAACGACAAUCUUGAAGGAAAUCGGCUGAACUAUCAGCCAAGGCUAAAUACUUCUCAAGAUCGAUAGUGAACAAGUACCGCGAGGGAAAGGUGAAAAGCAGGCCGGUGAGGCCUUUGAAAUAGAAUCUGAAACCAUACGUUUACAAGGAGCCGAAGUCCGGAUCCAACGCAAGUUGGAUGGACGACGACGUGCCUAUUGAAGAAUGAGCCAACGAGUGUAUAGGUGCUGCUCUAGAUUAAGUUGCCUCAGGCAAUGAAGUCAUAGGGAAACCGAGUGUUAAUAGCGCGUUCGCAUCUCACUUUCUUUAAUAUUCUUUGGGCCGCAAGGCUUUAAGGAUUCUAAAGACAGGUGGGAUUGCAAGUAGUACUUAUACGACCCGAAGCCAGGGCGAGCUUAUCAUGGCCAGGUUGAACCUUGACGAAAGUUGAGGGGAGGACCGAACCGGUUGGUUGUGCAAAACCUUCGGAUGAGCUGUGGUAAGAAGUGAAAAGCUAAUCGAGCCUGGUAAUAGCUGGUUCUCCUCGAAAUAGUUUUGGGACUAGCGCUCAUUUUAUUUUCUUGCAGGUAGAGCUACUGGUUGAAGGGUAAAGGGAGAAAUCUCGACUCUUUAGUCAAACUCCGAAUGGCGAGGAAUCACAAAUGAGCAGUCAGACUACGGGGGCUAAGCUUCGUGGUCAAGAGGGCAUGAACCCUGAUCGUAAUCUAAGGUCCCUAAAUUUGGGUUAAGUGUAGAUAAGGUAGUGGUUAACCGAAGACAGAUAGGAGGUUGGCUUAGAGGUAGCCAUCCUUUAAAGAGUGUGUAACAACUCACUAUCAUAUCCGCCUUUGGCGGAUUGGUUGACCGCGCCGAAGAUGUAACGGGGCUAAACCCAAUACCGAAGAUACGAAUGUUGUCGCCUUUGGCGACAGCGUGGUAGAGGAGCAUUUCGUAUUCAUUGAAGCUCUAGCCGUGAGGCGGAGUGGAGGAUACGGAAGAGAGAAUGUUGGCAUGAGUAACCACAAAUUCGAUGAGAAAUCGAAUCGCCGUAAAUCCAAGGUUUCCGUGGCAAUGGCAAUCAGCCACGGGUUAGGCGACCCUAAGGCAAUGGCGAAAGCCGCAGCUGAUGGAUAGCUAGUUAAUAUUCUAGCCCCUCCAAUAGAUUUGAUGGAGUGACGGGGAAUACAAGAUUACGUGUCUUAUUGGUUUGAUAUCGCUUAUUUCAAGGAAUGCUUGUCAGGUAAAUCCGGCAAGCUGCCUUUAAUGGCGAAUUUCGGAGAUCGGCGGAAGGUCGCUUCGGUGGCCAACGUAAUUGAAGAGUCCUCCGAGAAAAACUUCUAAAAUUAGUUUAUUGGAGAUCGUACCGUAAACCGACACAGGUGGAUUGGUGUAAGUGCACCAAGGCGAACGGGUGAUCUGCCGUUAAGGAACUCGGCAAAAAAGCGGCCGUAAGUUCGCGAUAAGGCCUGCCCCGAUUAAUCUCGGGGCCGCAGCUAAAGAAUCUCUGGCAACUGUUUAAUAAAAACACAGGUUCCUGCUAACUCGUAAGAGGAUGUAUAGGAGCUGACGCCUGACCGAUGCGAGAAGGUCAAAGCCGUCGGUUUGUUCGUCGCAAGGCGGACAAGCUGAAUGGCUGAAGCCCUCGUCAAUGUCGGCGGUAACUAUAACCGUCCAAAGGUAGCGAAAUUCCUUGUCGGGUAAGUUCCGACGCGCAUGAAUGGCGUAAUGAUCAGAGAACUGUCUCAACGGCAAGCCCGGUGAAAAUGCGAUUCCAGCGAAGACGCUGGGUACCUGCGAUUAGACGAAAAGACCCCGGGAGCUUUACUGUAGCUUAGUAUUGGUCUUAAGUUGUUGUUGCGUAGCAUAGGUGGGAGGCUUUGAAGGUCCGAUUUCGGUUGGACUGGAGCCGUCAGUGAAAUACCACUCUGCAUCAACUUAAGCUCUAACCCCAAUGGCAAAAACAGUGGGGGACAGUGCUUGGUGGGCAGUUUUUCUGGGGCGGAAUCCUCCUAAAAUGUAACGGAGGAGUUUAUAAGGUCGGCUAGGUGCGGAUGGAAAUCGCACCGGUUGUGUAAAGGCAUAAGCCGGCUUAACUGCGAGGCUGACAAGCCAAGCUUCUUUAUAUCACUAUAAAGAACAUUUCUUGAUUUUAAUUGAGAAAUGAGAUGCGAAAGCAGAACUUAGUGACCCGAUGACUCUUUGUAGAAAGGUCAAAGACUUCGGACAAAAGCUACCCCGGGGAUAACAGGCUAGUCGGAUCCGAGAGUUCCUAUCGACGAUCCGGUUCGGCACCUCGAUGUCGGCUCAUCCUAGCGCGGGGCUGGAGAAGGUCCCAAGCGUUUGGCUGUUCGCCAAUUAAAAGGAUACGUGAGCUGGGUUUAAACCGUCAACUAAACUUGUUACUGUUAGCAAGUUUGGCGGCUUCUGGUAGUAAUACCAGAAUGUAGAAAUCGACUCAUAUCGGUGAAAUCCUAACAACAAUUGAAUUUCAACCUGUCGUAUGUUAGGAUAAUACCGAGGGAAGUUGUAUAUGUCUAAAAGUAUUUCGUCAACUCAAAAAGCUUAUUUAGCGGGUUUCUUGGAUGGGGAUGGAAGCAUUUAUGUGCGUUUGAAGCCGAAUCCUAGUUAUAGGUUUGGCUUC
This 3106-nucleotide ribosomal RNA is filed under the name activated sludge metagenome. RNAcentral's name for it is "bacterial LSU rRNA". It matches the Rfam family "Bacterial large subunit ribosomal RNA". The record is from RNAcentral.